CUCAGAUAAAGCAAUGAACUAGGAGGAAUUCAGCCACGUCCUUUUCAGAGGCCUGAAGACGGUGUAUCGAGUCACUGUAGCUGGUUGCAAUGUAACUAAAUAACAUCAAUAUGACAGCUGCAGGUGCUUCAUUUUAUUACAUAAGUGAAUGGCCAAAGUCCCACAGAUCAUCAGACGGAUGGACACACAAAAACUGAAGCGAGGCGGGCUGAUUCCUACUCCUGCCAAAAAAUUACUAUGUUCCACCAAUGAACACUCAGAUAUUUUGCCUCUGGUGAUUUCCUUCUGGCCAUUGGAGACUUCAUUGGUAUUGGCAAGGGGACAGCCAGCAGGGUUAUUAAAGCAAUGUGUAUGAGACCGGAAAACAGGCAUAAGAGACAGUUUUGUUAAUUA
This 393-nucleotide long non-coding RNA is filed under the name Schistocerca americana (American grasshopper). RNAcentral describes it as "uncharacterized LOC124621917, transcript variant X1". Lineage: Eukaryota; Metazoa; Arthropoda; Insecta; Orthoptera; Acrididae. The record is from RNAcentral.